Molecule: non-coding RNA, 8288 nt
Organism: Phalacrocorax carbo (great cormorant)
Lineage: Eukaryota; Metazoa; Chordata; Aves; Suliformes; Phalacrocoracidae
Source: RefSeq, a predicted model, not a curated record
CCCGGGGCAGGGCGCACGGGGGAGCUCGAGCGGCGGAGCCGGGGGGUGCGGGCACCUCGGGGCGGGGACCGGGCAGGGCGGGGGAUCGGCGAUGGGGGACGGGGUGAAGGGAGCGCGGGGGGGGGGGUCCCGGCGGGGGCGAGGGGUCCGGCUCCGGCGCCGGGCGGAGGCUGUCCCGGAGGCGGCGUGGGGACCGAGCCGAGCCGCCCCGGGCUCUGCCGCCCGUCCCCCCCCCCGCCCGCGGCUGCCGGGGCGCCCGGAGCAGCCCGGCCCCCCUCCGCCCUGCCCCGGGCAGGCUGCAGCUGCCCCCGCCUGGCCCUCGCCCCUCGGCUCCCUCAGCGGGGCUUUGCCCCCUCCCCCGAAGGCGGCCAAAACCUUUGGCAGGCGCUGGAAGCUGGCGAGUGUCGCUGCUGCAGGUAGUGCUUUCAGAGAUCGCAUGGCUGCAGGUUUCGCCUGCUUGGGCUGUUAAGCAAAUGUAGCAGGAGCGUUCGUGAGUGGAGUGUGACGCGCCAUAAAUAAUGAGCCGUCUCCCAGGAAAGCAUCAGGGGACAGCAGAGGAGGAGACUGGCCUGGCAGCUGGUGAGCUCGCCCGGCGAGUCGUGUCCAGCUUUACAGGGGCCUCCUCCCUGACCACGGGUGAGCCACAGCAUCGUGCUCUGCUUCAGCAUCCCACCCUCGGAGUGGAAGGAAGAGCCAUGCGAGAUGUAUUAGCAGGCCCCAGCUCAAGGGCUUCUGGGUGUCUGCAUGACCCUUUGCAUCCUAUGGGGAUUAAAGAUCAGACAGGCUGCUCCGCAGAAUAGUGGGACUGCAGAGGGAGAUGGAGAGGACGUUAUUACGAGUCUGUUUUGCAGCCGCAGAUUUGCAGAUCUCAGGAGUCUAGUAGGGAAAUCUGUGAGGGCAAAAGGGUGCAUGGGGCAAAAGUGCUGUACCCCCAAAUUAGAAGACCCUGAAAGACAGCAUCCAAAAUAACAGCACAGUCACUGUGCUCUUCCCAGGUGCUGGAGGUCCAAGGAGGUCUCUGUGCCGGGGCUUGGAAACACACAGGCAUGGGUCUGCCUGCAGUGGGAGGCAUCUCUCUGAAUGCUUAUCUGGAACUUUUAAAGGAUUUUUUGAGCUUCAAACCCUGUAUAUUAUAAAACAAAAUUCCUCACGUUGUUAGCAUCACUCUCAACCAGCAGCAAUCAUUAGAUCCUGAGCUUGUUGCCAGCAGCAGCGCCGGUGAUUUACCUUGUUUGCAGCAAGGCUAAAGGACGAGCCAGUUUCCCCCUUUGCUGAGCUUCCCACAUUGCCUCUUUGCUCACGAGGAAGUAAAAUCCCUACAAAAAUCGGGCUGCCACCACAUCAGGAGACUGCCAACAUCCACCUCCACGUGCGGCUGCCUUGGAAUGCAUUUUAAAACCUACCCUGAACCUAUUUCUCCUCCUCUGCAUUUUUCCCAACACAUUUUUCUCCCCCCCGCCUGAGCUCCUGCCACCGGCUUGCAGGGACAGCCACCCUCUGCUACUGGCUUGGUGGCCGAUGGCAUGUCCCGUGCCAGAGCAACCUGUCCUCAUCCUGCUGACGUGCUUUGCUCGCCGUGCUCAGUUUUGCUUUCCGGCUAAACCCAUCAGCUGCUAUUUUUAAUAUCAAGGGAUAGACCCGCCUCUUUGCUCCGUCUCACACGUGUUGCAAGCGGCACAAGGUAUUAAGUUGAGCACGUCUGUGUUUAGCACCUGCCAGGCGGGUCCCGGCGAGGAAUGCAUCAGCUCUUCUGUGUCGCCAGCCCCGACAUUUCUUCUUCCUCCACAUGCCUUCUUUGGCUGAAAUGACAGUGCCAAAUUCUCCCUACGUGACAGAAGGCUGGGGUUUUGUUUUUUCCUUGCACUGAAAAGCAGCUCCUGGAGUGGAGUUAAUUCAUCCCGGUGCCAGAAAAGGGGAGGAGGUGAAGGGAAUGUUGCUGCAUCCCAGCAUCUGCCCUGGUUCGGUGCAGGCACGAAGAGCAGCGAGCUGUGGCUUGGGAGACACCCCCCCCCAGGGGUGCUGCUGGGAAAAGUGGGCACCCCUGAAAUCUGCAGCACAUUUUUUCCCACUUUAGCACAGCAAUUCCUUUCGUUUUUUUCCUGGGCUCAACUUAAAGUUUGUGCUUUGGGUUUUUUUUUAAUUUUUGCAGGGAUUUUAUUGCUGUGACAGAUAUACCAGGGUGGAAUCGCUGGGAUAAACACAUCCCAAAAUAAAGGAUUUGCACAUCCUGUUUUUAAAGCUGGUCUUGCAAAAUGUUCAAAAGCUUUUCUAUGUAGCUAGCAUUUCAGUGUCCAUAAAUGGCUUAAACUUUUCCCAGCUAUUGUUAGUGGCAGUAUCUGUAACUCAGUGGCUGUAAUAUAGCACAUGCAAAUGAGGAAGAAUAAAUAAAUACAUAAAGUAAAACAGAAUGGCUCAGCUUUCACAGUGUUAUGCUGGGAAAAGCUGCUGACUACAAGGCCCAGGAGCUCCUGUACUUAUUUCAGGGCAAACAGGUUGCAAACAAGCCAGGAAAACUUGUACUCUAGGACUUUGUCCUCCUGGGACAUAUCCUGAAAUGGAUGGGGCGCUGGCCUGGGAUGUGAGACUGGGUGAGUUUUGUGUCUUCCCAGCUUCAGUGACGUGCUCUGAACGCCUGGGCCAGGACCACGGUCCCAGUGCUGCGCUGGAGCCAGCGUUCCUGCGGGUUUCCAGGUCAGGAUGUUCAUGUCAUCGUGCUGAUGGCAGGAUCAGAGCAGCUUUAACAGCCGUACCACGCUCACGGGGCUCCUCGGGGGCACUUCACCGCAGCAUCCCUGCUCAGAGCUCACAAGAAUUGCUCUGUCUUUUGAGGGGCUCCAGCUGGAGCCGUGCUGGCAAAGAGCAAUUUAUCCAUGUUUUCUCCUGAUGUUUCUUAAACAAACAGAUAACACACAUGCAUUUAAAAAUGUUUUUAUUAGACUCUUUGAGUCGAUUUCUAGAGAUCCAACCUCAGACUAAAUCCACGUAGAGCCGCAGCCUGGACCAAGACUCAGUUUGCCCCUGGAGGGAGGCAUCCUUGUGUCAGCCAGUCUUGAGGUGGUGCGGGCUAGAUCAUAACGCUGGGUCAGCUCACAAACCUUCAUGGUCUCGCUCCUGCAGCGAUCAGCCUGUGCUGGGACCUGUCAAGGACCACGCAUGUUAUCCUUCCCAUGCACGUGGCCGAUGGAGAGGAGGUUGGCACCCAACUCAAUGUCCCACACAGUGACGGUGGAGCUAUCAGAUCCUGUCCCCACCUACCAGGAAAAAGCAACUUGCUGUGAAAUGUUCUGCUUUGCAGAGCUUUGCCUUUGGUUAAUGAAGAGUGGCCAGAGAAGGGGACUGGCGCCGUGCCAUCCUGUAUCGGGGAAUUGCAUCUUCUUUGGCUGGAUGAUGGGUUCCUUCUGCUUUUGUGAGAGAGGCAGCCCGGGGCAACAUGGGCCACAUCAGCCACAGCCUGCGGGCUUCUGCAUGGGGAGAGUGCCACUUGCUGUCAGGCUGGGGAGGCGAGACAUGCUCUGACCACACACGGAGCUGUGGUUAGCAUAGCACCCAUCCUGCUGCAACCAGGAGGAAGCCCCAGAAGCUAAAUGCUGAUUUAUGCUGCAUACGGUCCCUAUUAGACCCUGCACUGAGCAGCCAGUAACACAGAGGUCACGUGUGGGUUGUGCUGGGUUUUACUGAGUGUGAAAGUGGGGAAUAGUCCAAAUAUACCCAUAAAAGAUCAGGGUCGGGUGCUUCAUUAGUGCAGUGAGUUAGCAUUUGCAAGGGGAGGCAGGUGUUGGGCUGGAAACGAGCUCUCCUUUGGCGCAGGCAGAGUGUUGAACGGGUGUGAAAACUGGAGGCUGAAGGCAGCAGAUGCUAGAGAAGAGGAGGAUGUUUGCAGCUGGGGGUACCAGUGUGCCUGAGGCAGUGCAUGCUGCAAGGGACCGGUGGCAGAAGGGUGCUGCCAGGCUCCGCGCUGGGUGGUGGGUCCCAGCCCACCAAGGGUGGGCAGCAAGCUGGAGGCUAUGGAUAGCUGCAGGGACAGGAGAGGAUGGCAAAACCCUCCUAACCUCAUCGAAGAGCUUGAAGUGGACGUUGAAGGACCCUAGCAGCAGUUUCCAGGUAAUACCUUGCGCAAGAUUGACUUAAUGCCAGCCAGGGUGGUGGUGGGUUUCAGUGACUGUUUUUCAGCCUCGCUCAAGCUCUUCUCCCUCCCAGAUCCCAAAUGAUGAUACUGUGCUGAGGCCAAACAUGACAUGGCAGCAGCCAAACCAUGACAUGAACUCAGGGACCUGCAAAGGUGGAGAGUUAAAAGGCACUUGGGACUUGUUUACCAGGUGGGUUUAAGGGAUGUUGCUUUAGCCUCACCCUCUCUGUUUACUGCAGGGUGCAAGUGACCUCAAAGUUGGUCCAUUCGUUUCUUGUGGCUUCUGAUGUCAGUCUGGCAGCAGAAAGGCUGGAGCAUUGGACUUGUGGCUGUGUUUUUUUCCAAUGGAUUUAGGGAGGGAGUGACUAAUGUCAUUGUAAACAAGUGGGGCUGGGUGUGCUGCACUGCUCAGCAUCCCACUGCUAGCAGCUUUCAUGGUGGGACGGGCUGGUGGCAGCCGGUGGCCUGUCUUGUUUUGGGAACAGAUUAAAAGAAUGACAUGAGGAACAACCUGGGCAUUGUUGGUGGGUUUUACUGCAUUGCCAUCUCCUUAUGCUGCAAAAAUAAUGGAAUAGGGAUGUGUACCCAGCUCCUUCCUUAGCAACCCCUGAGCCCUGGGACAACCACAUCACUGUCCCCUUCUCAGGUCCCAGAGGAUGCUGCAAACACCUCGCUGCAAGGACUUGUUCCCUGCAAGGUGCAGCACAGAGAAGUUAAAAUGCCUCAUUACAGAGGAAAAUGUGGUUCUGCUUUAGCCUGGCUGCAUGUGGAAGAGUCCUCCCUGGCUCUUGCAGAAGGGCUCCUCUCUCCUGGAGUUAGUCAUGCAAAAAAGAUUUCAGGAGGGUCUGCUGGAGUCUCUCCCACCAUGUGCUUUUGCACCAGAGUAAUAGUCAUUACUGGCUGCCGUUGCAGAUUUUUCCAUUAUUAGGGAUGAUACGCAGAUGCGUUCAGGCCUCCUCCACCUGUGUGCAGAUGCCAACUGGCCCUGCCUUUCGGUGGGCGUACGGAGCAGCCCGUGUGCCGGGGGCAGCACAGGAGCAACGAGUCCCUAGGAAUCUGUCACAGCUAGCUUGCCAGCUUUCUCUGGGAGAAAACAUAUCUCUGGUGCCUGAAAAAGCCCCCUUGUGACUUUUAUGACUUCAGCAGAUUUCAUCUGAGGAAAGCUUUUUUUUUGAAGGAAGAAAUACAGAAAGGCACUGCAGAUCUUCUAUGUGCAAUCUUUUAGACCUGGUUUCUAAAAAAGCAGCAAGGGCCGAGGUGAGCACUGGGCAGCAUCAGAGAGAGCAGCCUAGAGAUGGAUUUUGUUCAUUCUUCUUUAACAGGGGUCAAAUCCAUGUGUGGCGUGUAGACAAUUAGCAGGGCUCAAAUUCUGCAUUUCUGUUGAAAUUGGAUGGUUGUCUUGGUCUUGGGGGAAAUCCUUCUGGCACUGCUGGUGGGAGUGAUGGGGUGGCUGACAUGGUGGGUGGAGGGGUUGUAGAGAGCACAGCACUGCGAGGCUAUGUGAGUCACUGCUUCUUCAUACCUGCUGCUAUUGGCAAGCUUUAACAUCCCGAUGCAUGCUGCGAAUGAGACUGAGAGGAGGCAGGGAGGCUGUCACAUGAGCAUGAGGGGAAAAUCCCCCUUCUCCAAUGUUUGUCCUGGCUGCAGACAUGGGAACUUCAGCACAAGAACCUACAGGCAAGUCUCCAAGAAAGCAUCCCAGACUUGUGGCACCUGAGGAGGUGAGAAAGAGAUGGAGAAUCUGUGAUUUGUUCCUGCUGCCCGUAGCUGGAGGUGGCUGCAGGGACCAGCCCUGUGGUUGUGGGAAUAUUCAAGUCUGAGCUUUGUGGCUUCAUCAGAUCCAGACUUGGAACAUUCACGCUAAUAGCUACAUAAGGAGAAGAGAAGAGCAAGCUGAUAUCUUGAUACCUUCAUGAAGCUAGCUGGACGCCCAGCACCGGCAGACUAAAUACAGCCCUGCCUUCCCCCUGCAGUAGGCAACCCGAGCUGCUCAUUGCCAUUGUCCUACCCAAGAGCAUGAGCCUAGGGAGGCGGGAAGCCCCAGCCAGCCAAGCUUCUGCCUGGAGAAGUUUGCUUUGGAGCAUUGUUUAUUUAUUUCUUUUUACACCCGCUUUGAGCAGAAUUAAGGGCAGUAUUGGGAAGAGCCCUGUAAUGCUGCCUGCACAGUCUUAAAAUGCUUUGUGCUCACUGCAGUUCGGAUCCUUACAGCACCUUUGGGAAGACAGACAACAUUCAAAUGCCCAUUUUACAGCAUGCUGCACUCAGCACUGCUGAAAAAUAAAUCCUUAGUAGUGUUGGCUCUGGAGACAAAAUAUGAAUAUAUGUGAGUUGCACGUGUCCAAUCUCAUUGCAGUGAGCUCAAGAAGGUGCAAUUAUUCUUAUUUUUAUGCUCAUAUGUGAUUUAGAUGACUAAUGGCUGAGAAUUCCUCCCUUCUCCUAAUUGUCUACAAAAGGAGUGAUUUCAAAGCACAAUAAUUGUGGCCGCUGCCAAAGGGAAUAGGAGGUAGGAGCAACGUGUAUUACCUCCAAAUGGCCCCACAUGUGUUCCUUGUCCAUAGCAACAGACACGGUUUGUACUGGAAUAAUGCAUCAACUAGAUAUUUAAUCUUUCACCCAAGGAUCUAAAAUUGCUCUCUAAUGAACCAUUAGCUGAAGGAGCUCCACACAGCCCUGAUUAGAUAGGCAAGAAGACAUGGAAGUCGUGAAACAGCCCAGCUUUGUAGUACUGGGAGGGAAGAGAGCCGUACUGUGAUUGUGCUCCGUGGGGAAACUACAGCUGAAGGAGCUGAGAAGGGACAAGCAGGUCAAGCCUGCUGUUUUGAAGAUGUUUUGGACACAUUACAGCGAUGCUACAGCUCCUGCUCUGAGCUCGGUGCUAUCAGUAGCCAAACAAGGUAGUUCAAAGGCUGCUGGGUGGCUUUCUGUGCGGCUCUGCAGAGAAAUGGUCUCUAAAGGGAGGGUUGCAAUGCCAUGCAGGGACCCAGCAGCUGUGCCGGGACUUCCAGCCCAACAGAAUAUCAAUUGCUAACAAGACCUUUCUGCUGAUAUCUGGGCUGGCCCAGGAAAUGGGGCUGCGAGUAGAAAUGUUUGGGAGCCACCACUUUCAAGUUUGCAGGGACCAAGGACAUCUUACACCCCAUCUGGGUGUGGGCCACCUCCAGGUCUGCAGGAGCAGCAGCAUCACGGUGGGGAGCAUCCAUCACAGAGUGAAGCGGUACCAUCUGCAGCUUUUGGAGACGUCAUUCCCAAAUACCAGCUUCCCUUCUGUGUUCGCAGCUCCUGCCACUGAGCCAAGAGACCCCAGAGAUAACCAGUGCUGUGGGGCAGCACCCAGCAGCAGCUGGAUAUGAUGUCUUGGGCUUCACCCAUGUCUACCCCAAAAACGCUUGGACAGGAAGAGCAGCGCUUGGCCAGGCUGUCACGUAGCAGCUCCCGGGGCGCAUGACCCAAUCCCCCUCCAGUGACUGGGAGAUUCAGGGGUCUGCAAUCAUCAAAGCACUUCACACCCCAAAAAACACAGGCAAAGCCUCCUCAGCCGUGUUGUCCGCUGCUGUUCUCAGCCUGGCCGGGGCUGGUGCCGCGCUGCUGACCUGCCCGGCCGGAGGGGUUGAGGGAAGUAUUUUUUUUUUUUUUUUUUUGGCUUUUUCACAUUCUCAGCUUGUGACUCAGUUAUCAACCAUUGUUACCUUCCCGUAUCUGGCAGAUCAGGAGAGGACCACUGCAUUAGUUCGGUGUUGCCAAGUAGAGCUUAAAUAUUGUGAUUAAAAAAUUCCAGUCUUGCAUAGUCUACUCAGACAUGCAGGAAGAAACCUUUGCAAUUAGAUUCCCUGUGCGCCAGCAGGAGGGCAGAAGUUCCUCCUUUUUUUCCCCUUUUUUUCCAUUACUAUAUUCUUCUGUGAGUUAAGAGCAGCAGGGGAAAAAGCGCCUGUUUGAUUUUCUUCAUUAUGCUAAGCCUGGUUUUACUUUCUGAUUGCCAAAGCAUGAUAAAUGGAACAGAGAUUACCUAGAGAUUUUCAAAGAUUUGCUUUCAAAUUUUAGUUUUCCUGAGCCUCGUUAAGCUUGCAGGUUUUAUCUACACUUUGUUCUUACAGUAGAGCAGCAUUGCCAUAUAUUAAUAGCCAUACAUUUUCAUUUGAAAUUAAAACCAGAUAGAUGCUUCUCA